Molecule: long non-coding RNA, 5833 nt
Organism: Anguilla rostrata (American eel)
Lineage: Eukaryota; Metazoa; Chordata; Actinopteri; Anguilliformes; Anguillidae
Exons: 2
Source: RefSeq, a predicted model, not a curated record
UCCUAACAUUGUAGAUAAUUUUGAACCUCGUACAGGUUUACCGCAUUUUAUAUUUCGAAUAGAACUCCCCUGUAAAUUCAUGAGAAACAGUAUAAUCGCAUGAUGCUGAUGGUUGUGUCCGCAGGGGUAAAUUGGUUCAAUUGAGGACGGAAAUCAUAUGGGAGUGAUCGCUGUUGUCACAGCCAGGUGAUAGUUCAAGCUAGCAUGCUAACGACGUUAAAUAAAAUAGCACAAGCCACUGACUGACUGCAAUGCGUACCACUUUGCCAGGGUCGUAAAUAAUACGGUGUAUGUGUGUAUAUAUGUCAUUCAGCUUCCCCUAGGAAUGCAGAUCGAUUAAAGUGCUCCCUAAAUGUGCUGAUUACCCAGCUAAUACUCGUGGUUUGUGGUACCAGCUUCCAUUGCACACAGUGAAUUCACUUCGGGGUUGUGUGGGCGGUGCGACAUAAGGCUCUGUCCAGCCGAGUCAGCAACAUGACAUCUACUUAGCUAUCUGGUCGUCAAGGUCUAAUGUGUGCUCGCUAAUUCCAGAGUUUCGUAAUGCUUUGCUGGUCCUGCAGGUAUCAAAGAUACAUACACUGACAUUAUGAUAAGCCACUAUUGGCCAGCAGCUAUCUGUCGCUGCAGUAAAAUGUUGCAAUGUCUCGUGUUGCAGUGUCUCGUUUAUUAAACUCGUCUAAAGUACUAGCUCGUUAUGCCGAUGCGGCCCUGAAUCGGGAUAAUCUAUGAGUGUCCGUUAUCUACGGCUAACUCGCAAACCAUUUGUUUAGCAUGUAACUAGGAAUGUGGUUGAUCUGGUUAUCGGUUUAUAUUCCCUGAUAAGACAAGUCUAGUUAGCUAAUUUAUCGAUCACACGAAUAACUUUAAGUGGGUACUGUAUUUGCCUAAUUUGGAAGAUGUUUUAUAUUUACAAAGGCAAACUAGUGUUAUUAAAUGUGUUAGUUUUCACUCGGAAGUGCACGGGUUAAUUUAUUAAUGUAAGCAUUCCUGCUACGCUACAUAGAGUAGCCAAUAUGGCAUGGCAUAUUGAAUAUUUCGCUGAAUUAGUUAUCAGAAGGCUAGUUUCUGGAAUGAUAAAUUAUUGAUAAGCUGGCACAUAUUACAAGACAUUGCUGUUAACUGACAAACGAAAUCGUUUAAUGGAUGCUGAUACUGGUUCUUAGUAAACGCACACACACAUACCUAAACUUUAACACUCAUACACACUGCAUUCUUGCAGCGUCAAACACACAGCGUCACUCUAUGUCUUAACGCGGUUAUAAAUACAUUUCUCUGUGGAAUCCUAGUGCUAGCGGCUCCCAUAUUUACUUUUCUUUCAUCACCAGUGUUCAAGAGGGCGACUGGGAUUUGUAGGCGGUGUGAACACAGAAACUAUUGGGACAGGCAGAAUGACUUGCCAAAAGUUGUGUUUAUAUCCAAAUUGAUUUAGGCAAUAUGUCUGCUUAAAUUUUGGAGCAUGUAAUCAUCUUUAUGGCUACCCAGUUUAUAUAAAAAUACAAACUUACUGUCCAUACAGGCUACAGAUGCAGUCAUAUUAGAUGUCCUUGGGUGUUUCAGAGUAUGAGCAGUAUUGGCUUGUUUCUGAGUUGGAGUUCUGGUCAUUUAAAAAAUGUGACCCAUUGACCCAUUCUAUGAAGGAGGGGACAGCAUUACAGGCCAGGCAUUGUAACCAGUAAUACAGUAUGUUUCAGUGCCUUCCAUCAUAUUAUUAAAAAUAAUUUUAAAAAUGCGUGAGUGUGUUCGAGCAGAGUAGCCUACAUACUGUAGGAUAAACUGUAAAUGUCACCUUUGAGAAGAUAAAACCUCAAAGAUGAACGUCUAACUGUGCAGAAAUAUAAACUCAAUGGCCUUUGUGUUUUUCUGAACAUGAGUAAAAUAAAAUAGAACUGCAUCAAUGCAUGAUUUCUUCUCAAUAAUAAACAGUAAUUGCAUCCUGAAUGGUGGAGAGUGUUUCUGGAAAUUUAUGUAUUCUGUUGUCCAGGUGCUACACAUUGCUGGCAUUUGAAGUGAGUUUCGUCUCUGCACCAUGAAGCACUUUGAGAUCAUGAAAAGUGCUGAAUAAAUGCAGUCUAAUUAUUAUUAUUAUUAUUAUUCCACAGAGAGAGGCUAGAGGGUAAUAGUUAGCUAACGGACAGUUUCAGAGACACAAAGGUUACACCCCAUGGAAUCUGGGCCUGUCUGUUUAGCCGCUUUUCCACCGCAUGGUACCGGCUCAACUCGACUUGACUCUACUUGACUUUUUUGGUUUUCCAUCGGGCAAAAGUGACGUGUUAACACUACAGACCACUGAUUGGUCAGAGCAAUGCGUUUCAUGCGGCGUCGCUAAUGACGACCAGCUACAUCGAUGGGGGUACUAUCUGCAGUGGAAAACAAAGUGCCUGGUACCAAAAGCGAGUAGAGUUGAGUUGAGUUGAGGCAGUACCAUGCGGUGGAAAAGCAACUUUUGUGAAGCUACUAAGGAAGACUUCUUGAGUGCAGCACCAAUGCACCAUACAAUGGCUGAUGUAGUGAAGUAUAAAGUAUAAUGGCUGAAAUCUGCCAGCAGGGGGAGCUAAAAAGUAAUGAUUUUAGGUCGUUGAUUCAAUGCCAGAGUAUGAAAGUUGUUCUGCCCAAAUGCGUCGUAGGGGUUGGUCGUAAAAGUGCUGCUUCGAUCUGAGACCGCAGUAUUUCAGAAACUCCGGACACCCGAAACCGGGACAAGAGCAGUGCUAUUACCAUGGUGUAAAUUCCUGAAGCACUGAUACUUAGUAAAUGACGCUAGAAGAUGGCUACAAGGCUUCCCACCCUCUCUGUCCAAAUCUAGAGCUGUCUCACUUUCCCACAGUACAUAGUGUACAGAAUAUCUCAACUCACUUAACAUUUGACUUAAAUAUAGCCAAAGUUUUGUUUUUUUUUUAAGUAGAAAAAAGCUUUAAAAAGCACAGCUGUUUGCUAAGUUCCUUUCCUGGUGCAAUAUGCUGACUUUGUAGCUUGUUAGCAGUAUCUGCAAAGCAUUACUUCACCUGUCUCAGAUUAUCAGUGGGGUUGGUUUCACAUGGUCCUGUCCCAGCGUCACCCUUUACCACCAAGUUCCCCAUCUCCCCAUCACACCUCAGGUCCCCCUCAAAGUUAGCUGUUUAAUUGAACCCUGGGGUGUGCUUGCAGAGGGGGUUACUGGGUGCAGGACGGGGGUAAAAUGUAAAUGAGAGCACUGACCUGUUGCCGUGGGUUCAAGCUCCCCGGCGAUGCUGUCGAGUUUACGAGAGAGAACCUUUUCACUGCCGCGGCCAGUCCGGCAAUCGCAGAACCGCCCGGCUCACCUGCCGUCCCUCCUCCUCUUCCUCAUCUUCCUCUUCCUGCUUUGUUUAAAACAAAUGUAGGCAGACAUGAGCCCUGUCUAUACACACACUGUGCUUCUGUGUGUGUGUGUGUGUGUGUUUGUCUAUGUGUGUGUUUUUGUGCGAGUGUGAAUGUGUGUGUGGGGUCCCACUUCACACUGCCUGGUUAUUUAUACUCACUCCACCCCCCCAACCCCCUCCAGAGGGAGGGCACAGCUUCCAGAAUAACAGCACCCUCCUGCCUCGUGCCCACUGCUACUGCUGUCUGAGUAACACUGACAUGCUGCCACUGAACAACACAGACACUGGGUAACACUGACACACUGCCACUGAACAACACUGACUCUGGCCCUGAGUAACACUGACACUCACUGGAUCAGAGUAAUACUCACACUAGCCACUGAACAACACAGACACUGGGUAACACUGACACACUGCCACUGAACAACACUGACACUCACACUGCCACUGAACAACACUGACUCUGGCCCUGAGUAACACUGACACUCACUGGAUCAGAGUAAUACUCACACUAGCCACUGAACAACACAGACACUGGGUAACACUGACACACUGCCACUGAACAACACUGACACUCACACUGGCACUGAACAACACUGACACGCACACUGGCAUUGAACAACACUGACACUCACACUGGCACUGAACAACACUGACACUCACACUGGCACUGAACAACACUGACCCUGAGUAACACUGACAUGCUGCCACUGAACAACACUGACACUCACACUGGCACUGAACAACACUGACACUCACACUGGCACUGAACAACACUGACCCUGAGUAACACUGACACGCUGCCACUGAACAACACUGACACUCACACUACCACUGAACAACACUGACACUGGCCCUGAGUAACACUGACACUCACUGGAUCUGAGUAAUACUCACACUGCCACUGAACAACAGUGACACUCACACUACCACUGAACAACACUGACACUUGCACUGGCAAUGAACAACACUGACACACUGCCACUGAACAACACUGAUACUAACACUGGCAAUGAACAACACUGACACUGGCCAUGAGUAACACUGACACUCACUGGAUCUGAGUAACACUCACGCUGCCACUGAACCACACUGACAUGCACACUGGCACUGAACAACACUCACACUCACACUGGCACUGAACAACACUGACACUGGCCCUGAGUAACACUGACACUCACUGGAUCUGAGUAACACUCACGCUGCCACUGAACCACACUGACAUGCACACUGGCACUGAACAACACUCACUCACACUGGCACUGAACAACACUGACACUGGCCCUGAGUAACACUGACACUCACUGGAUCUGAGUAACACUCACACUGCCACUGAAUAACACUGCUACUGGGUAACACUGACACUGCCACUGAGUAGCACUGACACUGGCACCGAACAACACUCAAACUCACACUGGCACUGAACAACACUGACACUGGCCCUGAGUAACACUGACACUCACUGGAUCUGAAUAACACUCACACUGAAUAACACUGACACUCACACUGCCACUGGACAUAGACAUGGCUUGUGUGUGUGUGUGUGUGUGUGUGUGUGUGCGAGAGAGAGAGAGAGAGUGAGCGCAUGCAUGCCUGUAAGUGUCUUCAGGGCGUCCCGUCUCCUGGGUCACUGUGUUCCUGUGCGGCAGUGAGCACCUGUGGGACGGUCCCAGACAGGGGCGAUACGCAGGCUCAACCCCUGCAGCCCUCAGCGAGUCUGGGGCCGCCCCGCGGGGCACAGCGGGUAUUUUUAAUAUCUAAUCCCCCCGGUAAGCUGGGCACGGGGCGCCGUGUCCCUGGGCAAGCGUGGGGCUCUCUGUGCACCCGCCCGCGUUGUGUGGCAUACGCAUACUGGACGUGCCCCCGCCCCCCUCACAUGCUCAAAAUAAUAGCCUGCCCAGCAUUCUCUCUCGCCAACUGCAGGGCAGCCACCCCCCCCCCCCACCAAGGAGCUCUCACACCCCCUAAACAACCCCCACCAUCCCUCUCCGCCCGUCCCGCCGCCUCCCCAGACGCAGUCAUCCCCGACCCCCCUGGGAGGCUUCCCAGAGUGUGACUUCCAGAGACCAGCACCUUCUGACCCUCAACCUCUGACCUUUUGCAUACCAGUUUGUCGAGAGGAGAAAGCGCUGUGGUUUUCCGCGCUCAGGGCGGUGUCAUUCAUGAAUGGGGGGGGGGGCUGCAAUUGUGGAGUGGGGGCGUCGGGGGGGGGUUAAGUGGCGUUCAGUCCGUUUGGAACAGAGCUGUGACCUUUACCGUCCUGCCAGUGUGUCACGCCCACAUAUUGUCUGAGCGCGUUGUUAUUGAGCAGUCAGACAGUUGAAAUUUAAGGGUGGGAACAUUGCAGAGGGAGCUUAGGGGGAUUUGACAUGGACACAUUGCUAAAGCUCACUGACAGGUCUAUGUUGACUGAACAUAGACCUGGCUAUCGGACAUGGCUAGGCUGUCGGUACAGGUUGUGAGCGGGAAAACCAACGGUGAUGCGUUCUGAUGGU